Felis catus (domestic cat) is the source of this 6937-nucleotide long non-coding RNA. RefSeq lists it as uncharacterized. Lineage: Eukaryota; Metazoa; Chordata; Mammalia; Carnivora; Felidae. The record is from RefSeq and is a predicted model, not a curated record. The transcript is spliced from 15 exons.
UCCUCUGUUCAUUACUUUGAUGGGAUGGUUUGAGGAUGAAGUCUUUGCUGAAGAGUAUUUGAUGCUGUAGGAGAAUGUGUUUGUGCCUGAGCACAGGUCAGAAGAGAAACUAAUGAUGGAAUGGCAUUUGCUUCUGUGGAGAGGCCUGGGCAGUGACUUGAAAAUGAUUUUUGAACAAAAGCAUAUUUCCUGGUAUACCAAGGAUAUAUGGCUGUGACGGCCCGGGGACUGCUCGGCUCCUUGCUCAGACAUAAUACUGCUCAGGGUAAGUCUCCUCCAGAACCCAGAAGACUAUAAGGUAACAGCAAGCCAAUUUCUCUGCCUCCAACAAAAUAAAGAUUGCUUUGGAAUCCAUCUUAUAAAUCACAAAUGGGGCUUACUACUAGGCCAAGGAAACAAUUAGUAGUUAUCCAGUAAAUGGAAUCAAUAGAGGAAAAAACAACCGACCCACAAAAACACAGCAACAUAUUACAAGGGAAAAUGUUCUGCAUAUUGUCUUCUGUCGUGCUGGGCUAGGACAUCUUAAUGAAGAGCUAUAUUCUCUCAGGAUGGUACCCCAGAGAGCUUAUCAGAAGUGUUACUAAGAAGUUGCAGUCUUAAUUUUUUUUUUUCUCCAGCCUCGCGUAUACAAGAGAAUUCCAUAUUUGACAGCAUCCUGGUACUUCCUUUAUUUAACAAAGACAUCUUAAUGUUUCCAUGACGGUAACGUGUGAGUUACCUCACGUCCAGUCUUAAAAUAGUUGUUACACUUAAGGAGUAUUAUUAGAAUAAAGCUGGAAGGAAACAUGGAGACAAUUACUCUAAUUCCCUCAUUUUAUAGGAGAGAAUCCAGGGGCCCUAGUGCCUUCUCAAGGCCGCACAAUGACUGGGGUCAGGGCUGGCUUGAGAAUUCAGAUUUGUAUUUCCAUACCGAUGCUCCUUUUAUUUUUUGACAUGUAAUAAUUCUUCUUGGUCUAGAAGAAGAUUAGAGUAUUAACAGUAGUUUAGAUGUAAGAGAAUACCACCAAACAGGCCCACUGUAUAAAUCAUUACAGAAUAUCAUAGAGGAAGGACCACAGAGACCACAACGGUUACAUUUUACAGUCAAAGAAAAUGUGGCACAGAGAAGUUGAAUGACUUUCUAGGGACAACCUGGCUAAUAAUUGAUGGAGUCAAGAUUUGAACUCGUUGGAUCUGGCAUAUCUGGUGCUAGUUAGAACAUCGGCUGGAGUUGGCCUGGGGUUUUACUGGACUCAUCUCUGUUUUAGAGUAUUCUGAGAGAUGUCCUGACCCUGCUUCCGCGGGCUAUGAGGAAGCUUGCACUUUGGAAACACAUGAGAGAGGUUGGAAGUGUGGAUUGUUUAUAGCCCGAGAGGAGAAAGUUGUUCAACUUCAUUUCCAUCCCUAACCACAUGGGAGAAUAGGUUGGAGUAAUAGGAAGACCCUCAGUGGUUGCGAAGCGUGUGUGUAUACAUUGUGGUGGGGACUGUAUUAUGCCUGAGAGCCCUUUGGUUUUCUCUUUUCCCUUCAGCUUUCUGAGAUGCUCUGCCUUAUAGCCCAAAAGAGGUGGCUUUCAUGGCUCCUCUGACUGAACUCGGGGUAGAUACAGGUGGCCCCUCUGAGAGCGUCCCACCAGGGUUUUUGCAAUUAGGCAUAGUGAUUGAACUGGUUAACUUUGGAGAGAUGUGUUGGGGUCACCUAGACUUGUGAUCCAAAGCCUCCGUCUCUGGGAUGCCACAGUCUGACACGGGUUUGUAACCAGGAAGCAACUGUGUGGAGAGAGAGAGAGGGGUAGGUGAGGGAAUGAAUGCAUUGCAUAUGCUUUCUCUUCCUCUAUCUACAGGUACUUGAACCCUGAUUUUUCAGCAUCACCGUGAGUAUUGUGACCAUAACGCCAGCACAAGGGAAAUGAAAAUGGGUCUUAAUAAUAUCAUUUGGGUCUGGAAUCUAGUUGUGCCCCAAAGCCAGCGUCUAUCCUGGGCAUUUCUGAAAAAGAGGCUUCUCUCUGUUUCUCUCUUUCUUUUUUGAUUUAAGACAGUUCGAGUUGAGGUUUUAGUCCCAUGCAAGAGAAGGAGUUGUAACUGACACAGGAGCUUUGCACUGCCAGUAAAUUGCUUUGUUUUGCAGAAUGCAAAGCCAAGCUUCAAGAAGAGAGAAAAGUGCUGGGAUGGCUCCUUUUUGAUUCUAGUUUCUUAUUUAUUUCUUGUUUUGUUGUUUUUGUAAAGAACAUAUAAGAAACUCUCCAACUGAAUGCCACAUGGUGCCUAGAUCCUGAUCCUUCUGCAGCAAAAACGUUUUUCUGUUCUCUGGAUCGUUCCUGGAUACUAUAGUUCUAGAAAUGAAGACAUGGAGAGGGCUGGCUGGAGUCAAAUUAAAAAAAAAAAAAGCAACCUGAAGGGGGUAGAAAUGAUCAAAGCAAAGAAAAAAGAAUGAAAUAUCCUAAUCUGAAGAUGAUUUCGUUUUCCAAAAGCUCCUAGCAAAUUGAGAAGGCAGCCGAAGGAAAGGCUUGUUUGGGAAGGUAUGCAUCAAAUAAAAGCAACGGCCAUGGAAACAGAAGGUCUGUCUUCUAAAAUGGAUUCCUGGCAGUGAAACUCACUGGCUAUAGUCAGCCCAGACUGAACUCCUUUCUUCAUCCUUGAAUGAAUCACUAUGGUCCCAGGGAUGUGAUGCUGUGCUUGGUCAGACUUGAGUCACCUGUCCACUUCUGGAUCUAUGGAGAUGAUGGACAUCACCCUGCUGAGAUUAUGGAAAGAGCAGUACGGGGAAAAUCAGGAUGCAAAAGAGGAAUGAAUGGAAGUCAGGCAGGAAAUGUGUCUCUUUCUGAGAAGAUGGAUGCUCCCCCCAAAAAUAAAGCAUGUGGAAGGUAAAUCGGUGUUUUUGGAUGGAUGCCUUGUUGGAAGAAGACAAGAGGGUGGUCAUGCCAUUCUUACCUGACUUUCCCUUCUUCCACUUGAUAGUCCGCCUUCAGAAGCAGGUGGAGUCCAAUUCUCAAUCGAUGGAAGGGCCCCUUACAGAGCUCCACCCGUAUUAGCAGAACAUGGACUGCCUGAUGCCUUUUAAAGAUAAGCUUCCUGCUGCCGCUUUGCAAGGGUUUACAAGCUGCAACCCUUAUGAAAUGUACUUCCACAAGCACGUCCCAAGGUCUUGUUCAAGUUUGGUCCAGGUCUUAAUCUUUGAACAGCAUCAAAUAUUCAUCGCCUUUGACAAAGCUGGGGUUGGAGGAUCCAGGAUUUUUCAAAAGCAGGUCUUGCCUUACCAUUGGUGAUCCAGUGAGCCUUUCAGCAAGACUGACUCUAAAUCAUCCAGGCUCAAUUAGUUUAUUUCAAAGAAAUAUCCAGGUGUUGUUUGACCUUCAAACAUAUGGACUGCUGGAGUAAAUGAAAGGCCUGCCUGUUCCCAUAAUGCCGAGGGAACUGGAUGGGAAAAUAGGAGCGGUGUUUCAUGAAAUACAGAUGACCUCAUAGGAUUGUUGUAAGAUUUAAGAAUUUAAAAUGAAUGCUUCCCGUCAUGUCUGGCCCAGAGAUAACAAACACCUUGAGGGCAGGGUCUGUGCCUGACUCACUUCUGCAGAAGCGCCCUGCUCCGCGUACAUCAGGUGCCCAGGAACUGCCAGUGAAAGAAAAUUGAGGCUUUGCCAGAGGGUGAAGAAGCAACCUUCUCUUGCCACACAAGGCCAAGUGCACUCCUGAGACAGCCUAUCCGAUAGCAUCCUCAGGGGACAGCCUGAGGGAGUCUUGUGACUGCGCCACUGGGAUCCUUCCUGUAGAGUCAGUGAAUGGCAAUCCGGAGGGGACAGCCCUGGGGUAUGCCUCGAAGGUUCGGUUGAAGCCAUUGGUGAGAUCAGAUGGUGUAUGCUCAGCAGACAUCUUUCCAGCAAAAACGUGCCCUUCCUUCCUCUGCGUCCCGGAUGAUUCUCUGCCACCAUCCAAGAUUCUCAGGCAAAGCGGAGUGGCUCUUCCUCAUGCACCCAGAGCAUUCCCUGCCUUUCUGAAUAACAGCCCACGGUUAUUAUGCAGCUCCUUCUGUACUAAACUAUUGACUUUUAAACAAAGAAGACUCUUUUUGAAGGCCGAAAGAAGAAGAACUCCACUAAGGAGGGCAGAGCUGGCCUGGGGACCCUGUGAGUUAUCAGGUACUCCCUGCAUGUGGCAAGGUCGAGAACGGAUAAUGAGUCUGUAUGUGAAUAGCUUUGACUCCCCCCAAAACUCGACAGUAGAAGAUCCUAUUAUUAAUUGGCCGCCUAUGACUCUUUAGCCGGAGCAGAGGAUCGAUGUGAGAACCAAAUGUUGAUUGCACUUGUUACUCGAAGAAUGAUCUACAGACCAGGAACAGCAGCCUAACCAGGGAAGCUUGUGGGAAAUGCAAUCUCAGGUCUCACUCCAGACCUACGGAAUCUAAACGUGCAGUUUAACAAAAUUCCCAGAGCCAUCCCUCAAGUCCUGAGAGGCCUACUCACGACAAGUGGAAAUACAAGGAAAACCAAGCUCGCCAGCUACAGCGAUAACAGCCUCAGCUCCUUGUGAAGUCAACGGGAGGACCUCUGCCACACCGGGACCUACAGACCAAAGUCACUGCUCAGGGAGUCCUUUCUCUACUACGACCUCCGUUUUGCCAGAAAAGGAUACAAAAAGAAUAUGGAAAUUGCCACAGCAUUGGUCUCUUGUCACGUUCAUGAUCCUGAAGUUGCCAUCGGGGAGAGUCUAGCUCUGAAAAUUUCUACUCCGGAAAAAAGAAAUCACGAUAAGAUUCUAAUUAAAGCAAGACUUGCCUCUCACGAGUAAUGAUACCAUAAAAAACCAGAGAUUAUGUCAGUCAUUCCCAGGUGUGUGUGUGUGUGUGUGUGUGUGUGUGUGUGUGCACGCGCACUGUGUAUGAAAGAAUGACUUUCGUUAAUUAAGAGAAACAGUGGCUCUGAAAGCUGGAAAUAAUUUUGCAGAAAUAGUUAAUUCAUUCAUUUAAGAAAUAUUUAUUAAGUGCCUGUUGCAUACCACCAAGGGGAUACCGUGAUAAGAGAGACUGAUCUGCUUCUUGCCCUCAGAUAGUUGAAAGUCUACGGAGUAUACCAAGCAACAACAAUGAAAGAAAGCGUGAAACAAAGUAGGACAGGAGAAUGUCAAGGCUCUGGGGGCAUACAGCGUCCUGGUGCAUCUCAGAAUGCUGUAAGAGUUAUCAGGUUCCAUGCUCGCACAUAUAUAACACCUGUUUAUGUUGAAUGUGCUCUUUCACAAGAUGGUGACCUUGUAUUUGCACCCACUGUAUUGUUUUUUGAAUGGACUUCAGUUUAAAAGUGGUUUGGAUCUGAGCUAGAAGUCCAGUUACUUCUGAAUCGUUUGUAGUUGAACCCAGAUAUGAUGGCCAGGUUAUGAUGGCCAACCCAAUCAGUUGAACCCAAGUAUCAUGGCCUCUUCUAUAGGGUGUUAGAGGGAAUGAAAUAAGGAUUUGAGGUCCACAGACUCUCCAGUGAGUAUCAAUGGGAUUCAUUUCAGGCUCUAAAUCCUGAACAGUAGCAAAAGUAUGGUCUUCUGGAAUGACAAGUAAGCAAGGCACACUUGAUGAGUGAAGAACUUUGUAGAAUUGCCAUGAGCUAGCUGUAUCUAGAGCCACAUUAAAAAUUGGAACUAUGACUUUAAAAGUAGGCUUAAGAGAAGUUAUUUAGGGGAUGCCUGGGUGGCUCAGUAGUCCAACUGUGCAGCCUGCUUGGGAUUCUGUUUCUCCCUCUCUCUCCCCCUCCCCUGUGUGCUCUCCAUCUCUCAAAAUAGAAAGAGAGAGAGAGACGGAGGGAGAGAGAGAGAGAGACACUAAAGAGAAAAGUUCUAAAAGAUCAUAUUCAUCAGGCCAAGUAUAAAGGCUGAAUGAUCAAGAACAAUUAGGCAAACAUCUUCAUAUUAGUAGACUUCUCCGGUUAAUGGAGAUCACAGGCUUUGGAGGUAAAAUGACCGCAGUUCAAAUCCCUGUGCAGCUCGCUCUAGCUCUUUAACGCUGGGUGAGUCACUUCACUUUCCUGACUCUUACUUUCAUCACAAGUAAAAUGGGGAGAGUCAAACCUAGCUGGCAGGACUGGCGAUAAGGAUUCAUUAGCACAAAGUAGGGACUCAAGAAAAUCUUGUGCUAUUAUUACUAACAGCUAAACUCCUCUAACUUUUGGUAUACUAUUGGUAUACAAUUAUAACUUUCUCUACAUUAUCGUUUACUUGAAGUCAGUAUUUGGAAGACUUCAAACAAUACAGUAGCGUCCUUCACCCAUGUGACAAGAAAAGAGGACCGUUUCUCCCCACCUCCACUAAGCAAGCAUGAGACCGGAUCAGAGAGGUUACUGCUCGAGGUCACAGAGCUGGGCCACUACCAGUUCUCUGCUUUGUGGGAGAGUCCGGUGUAAUUGAGUACCUUGGCUUAUCUAUUCCAGAAACCACCACUGCUGACCAGUCAGGAAACUAUUCACUUUAAUUCUGGCUCCUGGUCUCUCCCUAUUAUUCGGGUGUGGGUUUUCCCUUUCUGUGGAAAUAGACGGCUGUACCUCAUAUCUCCUUCCUGCUGUUUCCAGUGAUGUUCUGCAAACACAGUCACUUGUGAUGUCAUGUCUCGUAUUUCCGUUGGCCAGCUUCUCUCUCCCUAGUGAUUAAUGUCAAUCAUCACUCCCCUGGGAUACAAUUUUCAUGAAGAAUCAGCCAAAGAGGUCUGCCUCUUAACCUACAAUAACGUUCAAUUCCAGUAAAGCCUGGGAGAAGAAAAUGGACUAAAAAUUGUUUCUCCAUUAACUCUAGGUGACCUCCCAAAACUCUGCUUCUUUUCAAGCAAACUUUUGCGAUGGGCCAGUUUACCAAAGAAUUCACUUUUCUCCCUGAGCUCCAGUCAUUCUAUAUUCCUAUUUAUAAAACUAUCCUCUAAACUGCACAUGUGUGUGCUGUUAUAAAAUAAAGAAUAUAUUCACUCAUUUAAUAAAUACUUCUUGAGCACCUAC